Molecule: long non-coding RNA, 248 nt
Filed under: Ricinus communis (castor bean)
Lineage: Eukaryota; Viridiplantae; Streptophyta; Magnoliopsida; Malpighiales; Euphorbiaceae
Description: long non-coding RNA (RCOM_LNC001850)
Source: RNAcentral
UAAAAAACUGACCUAAAUUACUUCAUUAUAUGUAUUUCAAACAUCAAAGCGCUCGAAUUUCAGCUUGUAUUGUGCUUGGAUUAAUUGAAAACAACCUAAUUUGUCCUUUAUGCAUGUGGAUUUACGUCUCUCUUGCUUGAUCAUCAAGUUAAGCCUCAAUGCCACCGGUCAAGCUUGUUAAUUGCGUUCCCAUGAUUCCUUACACCCAACCUUGCAUCAUCAGAAGUCCUCGUCCCUAGAGGAAAAAG